GUCUUCAUACUUUGUGUUAUAUUUUUUUGUUAGCUCUGAUAUGAUCAAAAUCAUGGUGUUUAUUUAAUUUGUGACUGUUUGAUAGAAAGUUGUUUGUUCUUGUCUCUUCAAUGGAUGGAAAGUAUAAGUUGGCUUACAGCUUUUAAUUGCUUAAAGUAGCAGCACCGAUUAGAUCCUUCUAGUGGGUAGAAGAAUAAAGGAUAAAGCUCUAUUUUAUUUUUUCUAAAUCAAGCCAUUUGAUUUAUCAACUUUCCGGCCAGCUAAAUAAAGUUGCUGGUGAAUUGGAUGCUCACUUUUUUCUCUUUUGCCAUAGAAAACUUUUGUUAUUUUUCUACAAGGUUCCUGCCACCUAAUUAUCUUUUCUGAGAACAAGAUCGACCAUCUUAAUCUCAUUUAAAACCCAUUGUCUCUUAUUGCCUUUAGCAUCUUAUGAUGUAAGCAAGAUUCUAAAUGUCAGCAAGAGUUCGGCUGGAGUCUAACGCAUUGCUGACAAGAUCUUAGGUGACCAUAAGUUAUCCAGAGUCAGGCUUCAAUGUCUAUGGGAAGGAGAAUCCCAUCAAUGGAUGAUGAGGCAGAUAGUUACAGAAGAUUAUUCUUCCGGGAUCGUGGAAACUGGACAGUUGAUAAAGUUGAUGAUGUUGAAUGGUGAAAAAUGAAACUGAUGUUAAAGAAAGAUGAGUGCAUAUGAGCCUAGCUAUUGAAUCUGCAACCAAGAUGAACGUUCAAAUGCAAGUUUGUUAUUUGAAAGGAAAUGAGGUAAAUGUAUUAAAACAAAUAUUACAAUUGUAAAGAAAUCACAACUCCCAUCAAAUGCCACUCAAGCUGCCCUUGGGGGCUAAUAAAUGCUUUUGAUUAUAGCAAUCUUCAUACUUCAAUUCUGGCAACACAUGGUUUUUAUCAUAGCAGCAGGUAAAAUAUGCACCAGUCUUUGCUUAGUGACAAGGCGGCUCUUGUGUUGUUCAAAAGCACUAUAAAAUUUGAUCCAAAUGGGGCGAUGACACUGAGAAGAGGAUGUUGAUGUCUGCAACACAAACUAAUUGGAUCCCUCUUGCCCUUUGGUUCCAAUCUUACUGCCCUUGUCCUAGAGCUCUUCCACAAUCACUUGCAAGGAGUCAUUCCACCUGAAUUUUCCCACCUCCCGCUAGAUGAACAAAAAUUUCUAAUUUUUGAGAGCCGUCUAACUCAUUUUCUGUUUGUUGAACAGAAGUUUUUGGUUGAGAAAAAGCUUGAGCGAGCAGAUUUUCUGUAAACUUGUGCGAUUGCCGUUAAAUUUCUGCGCCUGGAAAUUGCUCAGGAUAUGAAGUGAUUGCCGCAAGACUGAUAUCAACAGCUUCUUCGCCACCCUCGAAAAUUGCACUGGUUUGUUUUUUGGCUGCAUUUGGUUGGCAUAGACCUCGGAGGAACAAUGCCUGAUUUCCAUCGGCUGACUUAAAUUAAUACAUCAAUCCUGAGGUUUACAGGAUCCUGAGGAACAUUUGGACUGGCUUUACUUGUCACAGCUAAGAUUUAUCCUGUUUUUCAUGCGUCUCAAUUAAAAAUACAGAUCAGCAUUCCAUAAUCAACCAGCCGCAAUCGGAUUGUUUAACAGAGGAUACAAAGCUCCACGUUCAUCCCAAUUCAAGUUACAACUUUGGUAAAUGGCAACACCUACCAGCUAGUGAGAACAAGGUGUCAUUGGAUGGGCGGAAUAAUAUUAAAACUAAGGUUUAUGCUUCCCACAAGAAAAGGAGAGUGAGAGGACAAAAGACACAUGAUAGACAUGGACCAAAAAUUAUGGGAGAAAGGUGAAUAGUUGUGGUUAUAGCUAUUUUAAGGAAGUGGGCAGCAAUUAUGAUGAGAAAAUGUGCAGCUGUUAUGUAGAUAGAGUGGACAAGAAAAGAACGGAUGGGAGAUCAUAGAGAACAGGCGAGGGUUGUGAGAUGGGAUUAAUAAAAGUGGUAGAGCUGGAAGAUUUUUUAUAGGAGUGUCUGGUUCGAAUUACAUUGAGAUUAUGAUUAGUGAAAUCCUGAAUUACUUGGUGAA
Molecule: long non-coding RNA, 2022 nt
Organism: Mangifera indica (mango)
Lineage: Eukaryota; Viridiplantae; Streptophyta; Magnoliopsida; Sapindales; Anacardiaceae
Exons: 2
Source: RefSeq, a predicted model, not a curated record